CAGUCGCCACGGUAAUACAGAGGGUGCGAGCGUUAAUCGGAUUUACUGGGCGUAAAGCGUGCGUAGGCGGCUUUUUAAGUCGGAUGUGAAAUCCCUGAGCUUAACUUAGGAAUUGCAUUCGAUACUGGGAAGCUAGAGUAUGGGAGAGGAUGGUAGAAUUCCAGGUGUAGCGGUGAAAUGCGUAGAGAUCUGGAGGAAUACCGAUGGCGAAGGCAGCCAUCUGGCCUAAUACUGACGCUGAGGUACGAAAGCAUGGGGAGCAAACAGGAUUAGAUACCCCUGUAGUCCAUGUCUCUUAUAC
This 301-nucleotide ribosomal RNA is filed under the name uncultured bacterium. Its description in RNAcentral is "partial 16S ribosomal RNA". It matches the Rfam family "Bacterial small subunit ribosomal RNA", at positions 509 to 807 of the family's 1533-position model. The record is from RNAcentral.